CACUGGUGAGUCUUGUGUGGACGAGGCGCGUAUUUGGCGUAUUAAAUUUUAAACCUGAUGCUUUUUGUUAUUCAUUAAUCAUGUGUUUCUUUGUCUAAUACGUUUUCCUAUUUAUUUGUAUUGUAGUCCUGUAAUGUUAUGUUGUCAUUUCUAUGUUAUAUUUAACAUUGCCAUUAAAGUGCGAGGUUUGGCAUGCCACAAAACCAGGUUCAACCCACC
RNAcentral lists this long non-coding RNA (219 nucleotides) under Mytilus galloprovincialis (Mediterranean mussel). Lineage: Eukaryota; Metazoa; Mollusca; Bivalvia; Mytilida; Mytilidae. The record is from RNAcentral.